Agrilus planipennis (emerald ash borer) is the source of this 619-nucleotide long non-coding RNA. RefSeq lists it as uncharacterized. Lineage: Eukaryota; Metazoa; Arthropoda; Insecta; Coleoptera; Buprestidae. The transcript has 3 exons. The record is from RefSeq and is a predicted model, not a curated record.
GAGCAGUCUGUGAUAGACAUCGAAGUUUACAACAAGUUAAGACGUCGUGAUCACUGGAGAACAUCAGGACCACCAGGACAUCAAGGAACGAGACCACCAAAAUCCAUUCUACUAAUCUCGGUCCAGUCAAGGCAAGAGGCACAUCAAGUUAGUUGGACCACUUGCUAAUGGAUAUCGAAGCCAUCAACCAGUUAGGACUUUAAUGGAGAACUACCAGUUUAUCAAGGGAUAGAUCAAUUCCAAUAAUUUCGAGCCAGUCGAGGAAAGAGGCACAUCAAGGACUUUCUUAGUAGAAUCAUCAUGAUUAAUGAAAAGCAUCAGAACCACUAGGAUAUCAAGGGACAGACUAAAGAAAUUCAUUCCAAUAAUGGCGGCUCAGUCAAAACAGAAGGCACAUCAAGGAAAUUAAGUAGGUCAGUAAUGGACGUCGAAGUCAAGAAGUAGAAUCAUCACGAUCAGUGAAAAGUAUCAGAACCACUAGGAUAUCAAGGACCAGACUAAAGAAAUCCUUUCCAAUAAUGGCGGCUCAGUCAAAAUAGGAGACACAUGAAGGAAAUGUAAUUAACAUUUAUUUACUUUUUAUUUUUUUCAGAAAUGGUCUUUCUUUUCCUUUAUAUUC